RNAcentral lists this ribosomal RNA (1127 nucleotides) under Leuconostoc pseudomesenteroides. RNAcentral's name for it is "bacterial SSU rRNA". It matches the Rfam family "Bacterial small subunit ribosomal RNA", at positions 359 to 1475 of the family's 1533-position model. Lineage: Bacteria; Bacillati; Bacillota; Bacilli; Lactobacillales; Lactobacillaceae. The record is from RNAcentral.
AAUUCUUUCACCAAUUGGGCGAAAGCCUUGAUGGAGGCAACGCCGCGUGUGUGAUGACGGCUUUCGGGUCGUAAAGCACUGUUGUAUGGGAAGAACAGCUAGAAUAGGGAAUGAUUUUAGUUUGACGGUACCAUACCAGAAAGGGACGGCUAAAUACGUGCCAGCAGCCGCGGUAAUACGUAUGUCCCGAGCGUUAUCCGGAUUUAUUGGGCGUAAAGCGAGCGCAGACGGUUGAUUAAGUCUGAUGUGAAAGCCCGGAGCUCAACUCCGGAAUGGCAUUGGAAACUGGUUAACUUGAGUGCAGUAGAGGUAAGUGGAACUCCAUGUGUAGCGGUGGAAUGCGUAGAUAUAUGGAAGAACACCAGUGGCGAAGGCGGCUUACUGGACUGUAACUGACGUUGAGGCUCGAAAGUGUGGGUAGCAAACAGGAUUAGAUACCCUGGUAGUCCACACCGUAAACGAUGAACACUAGGUGUUAGGAGGUUUCCGCCUCUUAGUGCCGAAGCUAACGCAUUAAGUGUUCCGCCUGGGGAGUACGACCGCAAGGUUGAAACUCAAAGGAAUUGACGGGGACCCGCACAAGCGGUGGAGCAUGUGGUUUAAUUCGAAGCAACGCGAAGAACCUUACCAGGUCUUGACAUCCUUUGAAGCUUUUAGAGAUAGAAGUGUUCUCUUCGGAGACAAAGUGACAGGUGGUGCAUGGUCGUCGUCAGCUCGUGUCGUGAGAUGUUGGGUUAAGUCCCGCAACGAGCGCAACCCUUAUUGUUAGUUGCCAGCAUUCAGAUGGGCACUCUAGCGAGACUGCCGGUGACAAACCGGAGGAAGGCGGGGACGACGUCAGAUCAUCAUGCCCCUUAUGACCUGGGCUACACACGUGCUACAAUGGCGUAUACAACGAGUUGCCAACCCGCGAGGGUGAGCUAAUCUCUUAAAGUACGUCUCAGUUCGGAUUGUAGUCUGCAACUCGACUACAUGAAGUCGGAAUCGCUAGUAAUCGCGGAUCAGCACGCCGCGGUGAAUACGUUCCCGGGUCUUGUACACACCGCCCGUCACACCAUGGGAGUUUGUAAUGCCCAAAGCCGGUGGCCUAACCUCUAGGAAGGAGCCGUCUAAGUCAGAUAUGCCAC